AUUGAACGCUGGCGGCAGGCCUAACACAUGCAAGUCGAGCGGAUGAAGGGAGCUUGCUCCUGGAUUCAGCGGCGGACGGGUGAGUAAUGCCUAGGAAUCUGCCUGGUAGUGGGGGAUAACGUCCGGAAACGGGCGCUAAUACCGCAUACGUCCUGAGGGAGAAAGUGGGGGAUCUUCGGACCUCACGCUAUCAGAUGAGCCUAGGUCGGAUUAGCUAGUUGGUGGGGUAAAGGCCUACCAAGGCGACGAUCCGUAACUGGUCUGAGAGGAUGAUCAGUCACACUUGAAAUGGGGAACGGGCCAGGCUCCUACGGGAGGCAGCAGUGGGGAAUAUUGGACAAUGGGCGAAAGCCUGAUCCAGCCAUGCCGCGUGUGUGAAGAAGGUCUUCGGAUUGUAAAGCACUUUAAGUUGGGAGGAAGGGCAGUAAGUUAAUACCUUGCUGUUUUGACGUUACCAACAGAAUAAGCACCGGCUAACUUCGU
Molecule: ribosomal RNA, 483 nt
Filed under: uncultured bacterium
Lineage: Bacteria
Description: partial 16S ribosomal RNA
Rfam family: Bacterial small subunit ribosomal RNA
Source: RNAcentral